Molecule: ribosomal RNA, 468 nt
Filed under: uncultured bacterium
Lineage: Bacteria
Description: partial 16S ribosomal RNA
Rfam family: Bacterial small subunit ribosomal RNA
Source: RNAcentral
GACGAACGCUGGCGGCGUGCUUAACACAUGCAAGUCGAACGGAAAGGCCCUGCUUUUGUGCGGUGCUCGAGUGGCGAACGGGGGAGUAACACGUGAGUAACCUGCCCUUGACUUUGGGAUAACUUCAGGGAACUGCGGCUAAUAUCCGAUAGAAGCUCCUGCUGCGUGUGGGGGAUUGGAAAGUUUCGGCGGUUGUGGAUGGACUGGCGGCUUAUCCGCUUGUUGGUGGGGUUGUUGCUUACCAAGGCUUUGAAGGAUAGGCGGCCUGAGAGGGUGACCGGGGACAAGGGGACUGAGAGACGGCGCAGACGCCAACGGGAGGCAGCAGUGGGGAGUAUGGCGCAAUGGGCGGAAGCCUGAGGCAGAAACGUCGCGAGCGGGAUGACGGCCUUCGGGUUGAAAACCGCUUUCGCCUGUGACGAAGCGUGAGUGACGGUAAUGGGUAAAGAAGCACCGGCUAACUACGUG